RNAcentral lists this ribosomal RNA (465 nucleotides) under Vreelandella stevensii. RNAcentral describes it as "partial 16S ribosomal RNA". It matches the Rfam family "Bacterial small subunit ribosomal RNA", at positions 338 to 795 of the family's 1533-position model. Lineage: Bacteria; Pseudomonadati; Pseudomonadota; Gammaproteobacteria; Oceanospirillales; Halomonadaceae. The record is from RNAcentral.
CCUACGGGUGGCUGCAGUGGGGAAUAUUGGACAAUGGGCGAAAGCCUGAUCCAGCCAUGCCGCGUGUGUGAAGAAGGCCUUCGGGUUGUAAAGCACUUUCAGUGGGGAAGAAAGCCUUGGGGCUAAUACCCUCGAGGAAGGACAUCACCCACAGAAGAAGCACCGACUAACUCCGUGCCAGCAGCCGCGGUAAUACGGAGGGUGCGAGCGUUAAUCGGAAUUACUGGGCGUAAAGCGCGCGUAGGCGGUCUGAUAAGCCGGUUGUGAAAGCCCCGGGCUCAACCUGGGAACGGCAUCCGGAACUGUCAGGCUAGAGUGCAGGAGAGGAAGGUAGAAUUCCCGGUGUAGCGGUGAAAUGCGUAGAGAUCGGGAGGAAUACCAGUGGCGAAGGCGGCCUUCUGGACUGACACUGACGCUGAGGUGCGAAAGCGUGGGUAGCAAACAGGAUUAGAUACCCGGGUAGUC